ACCGUGUCGCCAUAGUCAUUCACCUCGUCGCGAGCGGAACCGUUGAUUCGCACCACUUGGUCAUCGCGCUUGGUUGAACGCCCGUGGCGCGAACGCUACCGUGCGUUGGAUUAUGACCUGAACGCCUCUAAGUCAGAAUCCGGGCUAGACCGACGCAUGCGCUCGUCGCCCGUUUGCCGACCCGCAGUAGGGGCCAUUUGGCCCCCAGGGCACGUGUCGUUGGCUAAGCCGUCGUGGCGGAAGGGUCACGGUGGCCGCCUUGAAUUACAAUUCCGAUCGAGCGGCGAGCUGAAUCCUUUGCAGACGACUUAAAUACGCGACGGGGUAUUGUAAGGGGUAGAGUGGCCUUGCUGCCACGAUCCUCUGAGAUUCAGCCCUUUGUCGCUCCGAUUC
This 393-nucleotide non-coding RNA is filed under the name Ipomoea nil (Japanese morning glory). Its description in RNAcentral is "Eukaryotic large subunit ribosomal RNA". It matches the Rfam family "Eukaryotic large subunit ribosomal RNA", at positions 3005 to 3399 of the family's 3401-position model. Lineage: Eukaryota; Viridiplantae; Streptophyta; Magnoliopsida; Solanales; Convolvulaceae. The record is from Rfam by way of RNAcentral.